AACGAACGCUGGCGGCAUGCCUAACACAUGCAAGUCGAACGAGACCUUCGGGUCUAUUGGCGCACGGGUGCGUAACGCGUGGGAACCUUCCCUUAGGUUCGGAAUAACUCCCCGAAAGGGGUGCUAAUACCGGAUAAGGUCUUCUGACCAAAGAUUUAUCGCCUUUGGAUGUGCCCUCGUGGGAUUCGCUAGUUGGUAGGGUAAAAGCCUACCAAGGCGACGAUCCAUAGCUGGUCUGAGAGGAUGAUCAGCCACACUGGGACUGAGACACGGCCCAGAAUCCUACGGGAGGCAGCAGUGGGGAAUAUUGGACAAUGGGCGAAAGCCUGAUCCAGCAAUGCCGCGUGAGUGAUGAAGGCAUUAGGGUUGUAAAGCUCUUUUAACCGGGAUGAUAAUGACAGUACCGGGAGAAUAAGCUCCGGCUAACUCCGUG
RNAcentral lists this ribosomal RNA (433 nucleotides) under uncultured bacterium. RNAcentral describes it as "partial 16S ribosomal RNA". It matches the Rfam family "Bacterial small subunit ribosomal RNA", at positions 29 to 507 of the family's 1533-position model. The record is from RNAcentral.